Molecule: ribosomal RNA, 1381 nt
Filed under: Pseudarthrobacter oxydans
Lineage: Bacteria; Bacillati; Actinomycetota; Actinomycetes; Micrococcales; Micrococcaceae
Description: Arthrobacter oxydans 16S ribosomal RNA
Rfam family: Bacterial small subunit ribosomal RNA
Source: RNAcentral
ACGAUGAACUGGUGCUUGCACUGGGGAUUAGUGGCGAACGGGUGAGUAACACGUGAGUAACCUGCCCUUGACUCUGGGAUAAGCCUGGGAAACUGGGUCUAAUACCGGAUAUGACCUUCCAUCGCAUGGUGGUUGGUGGAAAGCUUUUGUGGUUUUGGAUGGACUCGCGGCCUAUCAGCUUGUUGGUGGGGUAAUGGCCUACCAAGGCGACGACGGGUAGCCGGCCUGAGAGGGUGACCGGCCACACUGGGACUGAGACACGGCCCAGACUCCUACGGGAGGCAGCAGUGGGGAAUAUUGCACAAUGGGCGGAAGCCUGAUGCAGCGACGCCGCGUGAGGGAUGACGGCCUUCGGGUUGUAAACCUCUUUCAGUAGGGAAGAAGCGAAAGUGACGGUACCUGCAGAAGAAGCGCCGGCUAACUACGUGCCAGCAGCCGCGGUAAUACGUAGGGCGCAAGCGUUAUCCGGAAUUAUUGGGCGUAAAGAGCUCGUAGGCGGUUUGUCGCGUCUGCCGUGAAAGUCCGGGGCUCAACUCCGGAUCUGCGGUGGGUACGGGCAGACUAGAGUGAUGUAGGGGAGACUGGAAUUCCUGGUGUAGCGGUGAAAUGCGCAGAUAUCAGGAGGAACACCGAUGGCGAAGGCAGGUCUCUGGGCAUUAACUGACGCUGAGGAGCGAAAGCAUGGGGAGCGAACAGGAUUAGAUACCCUGGUAGUCCAUGCCGUAAACGUUGGGCACUAGGUGUGGGGGACAUUCCACGUUUUCCGCGCCGUAGCUAACGCAUUAAGUGCCCCGCCUGGGGGAGUACGGCCGCAAGGCUAAAACUCAAAGGAAUUGACGGGGGCCCGCACAAGCGGCGGAGCAUGCGGAUUAAUUCGAUGCAACGCGAAGAACCUUACCAAGGCUUGACAUGAACCGGUAAUACCUGGAAACAGGUGCCCCACUUUGUGGUCGGUUUACAGGUGGUGCAUGGUUGUCGUCAGCUCGUGUCGUGAGAUGUUGGGUUAAGUCCCGCAACGAGCGCAACCCUCGUUCUAUGUUGCCAGCACGUGAUGGUGGGGACUCAUAGGAGACUGCCGGGGUCAACUCGGAGGAAGGUGGGGACGACGUCAAAUCAUCAUGCCCCUUAUGUCUUGGGCUUCACGCAUGCUACAAUGGCCGGUACAAAGGGUUGCGAUACUGUGAGGUGGAGCUAAUCCCAAAAAGCCGGUCUCAGUUCGGAUUGGGGUCUGCAACUCGACCCCAUGAAGUCGGAGUCGCUAGUAAUCGCAGAUCAGCAACGCUGCGGUGAAUACGUUCCCGGGCCUUGUACACACCGCCCGUCAAGUCACGAAAGUUGGUAACACCCGAAGCCGGUGGCCUAACCCCUUGUGGGAGGGAGC